Long non-coding RNA from Oncorhynchus tshawytscha (Chinook salmon), 112 nucleotides. RefSeq lists it as uncharacterized. The transcript has 2 exons. The record is from RefSeq and is a predicted model, not a curated record. NCBI's taxonomy places the organism in Eukaryota, Metazoa, Chordata, Actinopteri, Salmoniformes, Salmonidae.
AAAUGAGAUGGAGGGUAAACUCGAACAAAACGUAAAGGUUGCUACACCUGAAACAGAAAAGCUAAAUGAGAUGGAGGGUAAACUCGAACAAAACGUAAAGGUUGCUACACCU